AUUGAACGCUGGCGGCAGGCCUAGCACAUGCAAGUCGAACGGUAACAGGAAACAGCUUGCUGUUUCGCUGACGAGUGGCGGACGGGUGAGUAAUGUCUGGGAAACUGCCUGAUAGAGGGGGAUAACUACUGGAAACGGUAGCUAAUACCGCAUAACGUCGCAAGACCAAAGAGGGGGACCUUCGGGCCUCUUGCCAUCGGAUGUGCCCAGAUGGGAUUAGCUAGUAGGUGGGGUAACGGCUCACCUAGGCGACGAUCCCUAGCUGGUCUGAGAGGAUGACCAGCCACACUGGAACUGAGACACGGUCCAGACUCCUACGGGAGGCAGCAGUGGGGAAUAUUGCACAAUGGGCGCAAGCCUGAUGCAGCCAUGCCGCGUGUAUGAAGAAGGCCUUCGGGUUGUAAAGUACUUUCAGCGGGGAGGAAGGGAGUAAAGUCAAUACCUUUGCUCAUUGACGUUACCCGCAGAAGAAGCACCGGCUAACUCCGUGCCAGCCGCCGCCGUAA
This 506-nucleotide ribosomal RNA is filed under the name uncultured bacterium. RNAcentral describes it as "partial 16S ribosomal RNA". It matches the Rfam family "Bacterial small subunit ribosomal RNA", at positions 30 to 523 of the family's 1533-position model. The record is from RNAcentral.